RNAcentral lists this long non-coding RNA (2191 nucleotides) under Rattus norvegicus (Norway rat). RNAcentral's name for it is "long non-coding RNA NONRATT003115". The record is from RNAcentral. Lineage: Eukaryota; Metazoa; Chordata; Mammalia; Rodentia; Muridae.
UAUUUUGCAAGCGGGAGUGGAUUGGACAUGUUGAACAUACACUGGUGUAUAUACUGUAUUUAGCCUGAAGACUUUCCUAAAGUAUUUUGUUCUAAGAAAUAACCUGCCAUUUUCUAUAGAUUUUACUUUUUUAUAUCUUCUAAUCUUCUUUCAUCAUCACAUGGAGAGAUGUGGCUUUACCCAGUGCUAACCAUUUGUAAGUGCUUUUGUAGAGACUUGGAGCUGCUAAGGAAGAUUUUGGAGCUUCCUACCUACUGGUGUCAGUAAGAUGAAGCAUGUGGAAUGUAUGAUAGUGUUGUACAGUGGACUCGGGUUUAGAUCCAUUUCAUGUUUAUUUAAAAUCAUUGUUUGCCAUGGGGCACAAGUAGGGGCAGGGACAGGAGCUUCACAGCAUAUGUAAGAGGUGUCUUCAAAUCUCAAUAGACUCUUCCCGGGCCUAUUCUGGAGGGUUCACCUGAGGUCACUAGUAUCACCAAGGGACUUGGAAUGCCUGGGCAGCUCCCAGGCUUUUGAUGCCAAUUAGCACUGCCUGGAUUCUGUGACUUUCCUUUCUUGUUUGCAGUCAGAAGUGAAGGAUUUGGUACACCAUCUUUUUGCCAACAGUUUAUGGCGAGAAUCAUCACUGCCAUGGAGGGUACUCAGGAAGAACUCCAAUUGUUCUGGACAAGAAAAUUAAAAGGUGUCCAUCCUUGGCUUGGAAUCGUGUGUGUGUGUGUGUGUGUGUGUGUGUGUGUGUGUGUGUGUGUGUGUGUGUGUGUGUGUGUGUGUGUUAGGGGGCUUUCUGACUUCAAGGCUUGAUUUAGAAAUGUGAAGUGUUUUAUGCUUGGUGUGUCUAGGGAUUGUUCUUAUUUGCUGGUGGCAGGCAGAGUGCCCUGAGGGGUCUGAAUUAUUUCCCAGAGCCUCUCUCCAGAUUCUACUGUGGGGCAGAGACCGACCUGUGCAGGAGAGGGAAGUCACUCCAGGUUAAAAAAUGUGGUAGAGGGGUUGGGGAUUUAGCUCAGUGGUAGAGUGCUUGCCUAGCAAGCGCAAGGCCCUGGGUUUGGUCCCCAGCUCCGAAAAAAAGAAAAAAGGAAAAAAAAAAAUGUGGUAGAAGACAGUAGAAAGUUUCCUGCCUAGCCUCGCAAACCCUGCCCUGCUUCUGACAGCGCGGCUGUAAACCACAGGUAGCACUGGGCCUCCCGCUCAGGUUCACUCCCCUCUAGGUCUUUCCUACUUGGAACAUAGUUUUUGGAAUCCUUUAUAGUUUGAAAACAAAUGUGAAACAUUUUAUUCAAAUUAUUUUGGAGCCCUUGUUGAUGUUUUUUCAUGUAAAAAAAAAUCAUGUAAUACCAGGAAUUUGGUAGUGUAUGUUACUUACAGAGGCACAUGAGGUUUGGUUUCGAUCUGUGGUGAGCCAGGUGCGCUGUACAUCUUCGAGUGCUCCACUGCUGUGUGCCCUCAUCAUUGAGCAUCAGGCUGCCGACAGAGUUCAUCUGACAUGGCCCAUAUGUUAAGGCUAUCAGGAAAACAUCAGAGCUGGGACAGCUUUGGCACAGCCUCCCAGAGUCGAGCUCUCUGCUGCUAUGAACUCUGCAGCGUGAACUUUGCUAGGUGCUAUUCCAGACUGGGGGACUGUGUUUCUGUGCUUGUAGUUCUGUUGGUUUUUCCUGUAGGCAUUUAUGUUCUGUGUAGGUCUGCUCACCAACUGUGCCUCUCACCACUGGUUAAAAUUGAGUUCAGGCCCCAUUACCAAAAUGUGUUGUGUUUUGUUUUUUGUUUUGUCUUGUUUUGAUUCUCUUGUGUUUUUGCACCAGCGUGUAUUUCUCUCGUCUUAAAAGCUGCAUGUCAUAUCACUGUACACAAAAUGCUUUGGUGUCUGUCAUUCAUGAGCCAUCAUUAGUGAGCUCUGUAUAAAUUUAAUUUUGCAGUAAAAGGACGGCAGAGUAUCCUUCCUGCAGGCUGGAAGAAAGUGUAUCCUGCAUUUUAAAUUAUGUUAGGCCAAGUGCAUGAGGUGUGUCACUGCCUUCUGUUUAUUUAUUUGUAUAUUUUAUUAUUCAAGGUGUACGCACUUUUAAGAAGCAGAAUUUAUAUUUUUAUGUUGAAAACGUUUUAUUUCUGAGACAGCAGUUGGUUGUAUAGUAUACAGUUGGAAUUAAGAGAAAACUGGAAAAUGUAACAAAACAUAAUAAAUUUAUUACAUGAUGCCUUCUUC